Molecule: long non-coding RNA, 553 nt
Organism: Sinocyclocheilus grahami
Lineage: Eukaryota; Metazoa; Chordata; Actinopteri; Cypriniformes; Cyprinidae
Exons: 3
Source: RefSeq, a predicted model, not a curated record
UCUCGGCAAACAAACAAACAACGGUUUCAUUACUGCAGAUUUGGGCAGCGCUUUAGACUUUAAGAGUAAAAGCUUCUGGGAUCCGCAGAUUUCAUCACUUUAUGGCUGUUUGCGUGCAGAUGAAAAGGAAUAAUUUAAAGACUCCAGUUUGUUCUUGCGAGAAUCCUCGAGCCACAUCUGAAGAAACGCUAAAGCAAAUUACAAUUGAUCCCACAUGUCAGUCCAUACAGGUGUUCAGAUGUGCCUCUCGAGGGCUGUUCACCCCUCAUCGCUACAAACGGAGCACAAAUUGAGCAGGAUUCUCAAACAAAGCUGCCUUAUUUCUGAGGAUCUCUUCUGGCUUUCAGGUAAAGUUGGUCGCGUUCCCAAAGAGCGGAGCGAUCCGAGACUUCGCAGAGAAAAGAGUCUCUCUCUCCUGUCAGGAUCCGCCACCUGAGACGGAUUUCACUCGAUUCGCUCAUUCGCGCUGCGCAGACGGAGUGUAAAGGCACUUUAAAAGCUCAUCGGGUGAGUGCUGCACUUGUAGGAAAUACCUUAUUCAUGACGGAACAGC